RNAcentral lists this ribosomal RNA (468 nucleotides) under uncultured bacterium. RNAcentral's name for it is "partial 16S ribosomal RNA". It matches the Rfam family "Bacterial small subunit ribosomal RNA", at positions 28 to 507 of the family's 1533-position model. The record is from RNAcentral.
GACGAACGCUGGCGGCGUGCUUAACACAUGCAAGUCGAACGGCAAGGCCCUGCUUUUGUGGGGUUCUCGAGUGGCGAACGGGUGAGUAACACGUGAGUAUCCUGCCCUUCACUUUGGUAUAACUUCAGGUAACUGGGGCUAAUACCGUAUAGGAUCUCCUGCUGCAUGGUGGGGGUUGGAUCGUUUCGGCGGUUGGGGAUGGACUCGCGGCUUAUCAGCUUGUUGGUGGGGUAGUGGCUUACCAAGGCUUUGACGGGUAGCCGGCCUGAGAGGGUGACCGGCGACAUGGGGACUGAGAGACGGCCCAGAGGCGUACGGGAGGCAGCAGGGGGGAAUAUUGCACAAUGGGCGGAAGCCUGAUGCAGAAACGCCGCGGGCGGGAAGACGGCCUUCGGGUUGUAAACCGCUUUAGCCUGUGACGAAGCGGGAGUGACGGUAAUGGGUAAAGAAGCACCGGCUAACUACGUG